UACGUAGGGUGCGAGCGUUGUUCGGAAUUACUGGGCGUAAAGAGUGUGUAGGCGGUGCUCUAAGACAGAUGUGAAAUCCCCGGGCUCAACCUGGGAACUGCAUUUGUGACUGCACAGCUGGAGUGCGGCAGAGGGGGAUGGAAUUCCGCGUGUAGCAGUGAAAUGCGUAGAUAUGCGGAGGAACACCGAUGGCGAAGGCAAUCCCCUGGGCCUGCACUGACGCUCAUGCACGAAAGCGUGGGGAGCAAACAGG
Molecule: ribosomal RNA, 253 nt
Filed under: uncultured bacterium
Lineage: Bacteria
Description: partial 16S ribosomal RNA
Rfam family: Bacterial small subunit ribosomal RNA
Source: RNAcentral